AAGAUGUACGGUGUUGAUGGCAGCAGUAACAGACACAAACACAUGCUCGGCACGUUGAUUUCGUUGCAGGAUGAUGACAGUGAGGGAGGAAAGCUCACAGACACUGAGAUCAAAGCUUUGCUCUUGGUACUUCUCUCCCCCUGCCAUUAUAAUUAAUAUACAAAUAAUUGUUAACGAUUAUUAUUUAUUAAUAUUUCAAUUAUCAUUUGUUAUAUUACUAAUAGAUACACUUUUACAAAUUUAUAAUAAUAAUAAACCAAAAAAUUAGAGUAAUAAUCAAAGUAUUUUUGUUUAUUUACAAAAUAGUACAUUCCUCAAUUUAUUUAUUUAUUUAUUUUUAAAUUAAAAUAUUAAAUUAAUUUUUAAAAUUUAAUAAUUAAUUUUUAUAAGAAUUUUAAACGAUAAAAAAUUCAUCAAAAUUUACAAUAAUUAUUAUUUUCACAAUCAUUUUUUAUUAGCUUAGUUUGUGAAUAAAAUAGUUUAAUUUUUUUUUAAAAUUGAAAAAAGAAUUUUAAUACCUUACAACAAAUGGUUACAGAACAUGUUCAUAGCAGGAACCGACACGUCAUCAAGCACUAUAGAAUGGGCCAUGGCUGAACUCAUCCGGCAUCCAAAAAUCCUAGCCCAAGUCCGGCGAGAGCUGGACUCCGUCAUCGGCCCGAACC
Molecule: long non-coding RNA, 665 nt
Filed under: Carica papaya (papaya)
Lineage: Eukaryota; Viridiplantae; Streptophyta; Magnoliopsida; Brassicales; Caricaceae
Description: long non-coding RNA (CPAP_LNC006993)
Source: RNAcentral